AACGAACGCUGGCGGCAUGCCUAACACAUGCAAGUCGAACGAGAUCUUCGGGUCUAGUGGCGCACGGGUGCGUAACGCGUGGGAAUCUGCCCUUUGGUUCGGGAUAACAGUUGGAAACGACUGCUAAUACCGGAUGAUGACGAAAGUCCAAAGAUUUAUCGCCAGAGGAUGAGCCCGCGUAGGAUUAGCUAGUUGGUGUGGUAAAGGCGCACCAAGGCGACGAUCCUUAGCUGGUCUGAGAGGAUGAUCAGCCACACUGGGACUGAGACACGGCCCAGACUCCUACGGGAGGCAGCAGUGGGGAAUAUUGGACAAUGGGCGAAAGCCUGAUCCGGCAAUGCCGCGUGAGUGAUGAAGGCCUUAGGGUUGUAAAGCUCUUUUACCCGGGAUGAUAAUGACAGUACCGGGAGAAUAAGCUCCGGCUAACUCCGUGCCAGCCGCCGCGGUAA
RNAcentral lists this ribosomal RNA (449 nucleotides) under uncultured bacterium. RNAcentral's name for it is "partial 16S ribosomal RNA". It matches the Rfam family "Bacterial small subunit ribosomal RNA", at positions 29 to 523 of the family's 1533-position model. The record is from RNAcentral.